Molecule: ribosomal RNA, 1075 nt
Filed under: Geotoga petraea
Lineage: Bacteria; Thermotogati; Thermotogota; Thermotogae; Petrotogales; Petrotogaceae
Description: Bacterial large subunit ribosomal RNA
Rfam family: Bacterial large subunit ribosomal RNA
Source: Rfam by way of RNAcentral
AGCGCGAAAAGUCAGUAUAAAUAGACCCGAAGCCAGGUGAGCUACACAUGUGCAGGUUGAAAGUUGGGUAAAACCAAGUGGAGGACCGAACCGGUGGGUAGUAAAAAAUCCUCGGAUGACAUGUGUGUAGGAGUGAAAAGCUAAUCGAACCUGGAGAUAUCUGGUUCUCCCCGAAACGUGUGUAGGCACGGCCUUACUGGAAAUUAGUUGGGGUAGAGCACUGAUUGGAGUAAGGGGAAAACCUCUGAAACCAGUCAAACUCCGAAUACAACUAAUAAAGAAGUAGGAGACAGACUACGGAGGAGAAGCUCCGUGGUCGAAAGGGAAACAGCCCAGACCGACAGCUAAGGUUCCGAAGAGAAGGCUAAGUGUGAAAGGUAGUGGAGAUCUUAAGACAGCCAGGAGGUUGGCUUAGAAGCAGCCAUCCUUUAAAGAGUGCGUAACAGCUCACUGGUAGAAGGUCACUGCGCCGAAAAUGAAAAGGAGCUAAAGCCUUACACCGAAGCUACGGAAUAGUACGUAAGUAUUAUUGGUAGGGGAGCAAUGUGUAGUAGGGAGAAGGAUAGAUGUAAAUCUAUUUGGACGAGACACAAGAGCGGAUGCGGGCAUGAGUAACGAAAUGGGAGUGAGAAUCUCCCACCCCGAAAGUCUAAGGGUACCUGGGGAAGGUUCGUCCGCCCAGGGUAAGUCGGGACCUAAGGUAAACCCGAAAGGGGUAGCCGAUGGGAAACAGGUAAAGAAUCCUGUACCGUAACUAUACGAGAUACAAGGUGUGACGCAGGAGGUAAAGAAUUGAGUCCAAGUUGCAAGGCUUUCAAGUAUUAAGUCUGGAGAAAGUUACAGGGAAAACCGUAACUGGAAGAUGAGAUACGAUGAGGAGAGAGAAAAAUCUCAACAAAUUGGAGCCACACUGCCAAGAAAAGCAUCGUGUAUUGGUUGAGUAUAGGGACGCCCGUUCUGAAAACCGACACAGGUAGACGAGUAGAGAAUACUAAGGGGAGCGGAAUAACCUCUGUUAAGGAACUAGGCAAAAUAGCCCCGUAACUUAGGGAGAAGGGGUGCUCCUGGUGGUGUA